This 202-nucleotide small RNA is filed under the name Edwardsiella tarda. RNAcentral's name for it is "GlmZ RNA activator of glmS mRNA". It matches the Rfam family "GlmZ RNA activator of glmS mRNA". Rfam says of the family: This RNA was discovered in E. coli during a large scale screen. The sraJ gene was expressed in early logarithmic phase, but its level decreased with cell growth. The record is from RNAcentral. Lineage: Bacteria; Pseudomonadati; Pseudomonadota; Gammaproteobacteria; Enterobacterales; Hafniaceae.
GUAGAUGCUCAUUCGCCCCCUUAUGUUUGCGUAAGCUUCAUAAAACUGAGAAUGAUGCAGAGCCGACUUGUGGUGCCUAUGGUCCGAAUCAUGCUGUCUUUGAUCAGCACGCCGCGGACACGUCGUUGAGUGAGGCACCGAUCAGUUGUCUUAAGAUCUGAUUGUCCUUUUUCAACACUUGCCUGCUGGCAGGUGUUUUUUU